GAAAUGCGAUACGUAAUGUGAAUUGCAGAUUCGUGACUCAUCGAAAUUUUGAACGCACAUUGCACUUGGCGGUAUUCCGCCAAGUAUGCUUGUUUGAGUGUCUGUCCGUUUCCAUCUUUUAUUGCGCCUGGCUUUGUUCUUUUGCUUUUGUUCGCUUUCCAGCCCUUUGCGGUUGGGGGCAGCCGGGCGAAAGAAUGGACUUGGCGCAACAAAAAGGAUGUUGGCCUCUUUACUCUGUAAGAGUGAAUUGGCUCUAUGCAUUUGCGGCACAAAGGUGUAUUCCAACUUGGAAUGCUUCCUUUUUUUCUCAUGCCCCAAUUCCGUUGUUGUGCUUGUUUCUGCAAGUGCUUUAUCAGAAUUGUGACAUGGAAGAAAGAGAGCGUUUCUGAGAGGGGAAAAGCAACAAUGACCGCGCCUCAAGGCAAACGAACACACCGCCAUAACCAUAUGGACCUCAAAUCAAGCAAGGCUACCCGCUGAACUUAAGC
RNAcentral lists this unclassified non-coding RNA (488 nucleotides) under plant metagenome. RNAcentral describes it as "partial contains 5.8S ribosomal RNA, internal transcribed spacer 2, and large subunit ribosomal RNA". The stretch from base 1 to 103 matches the Rfam family "5.8S ribosomal RNA", at positions 50 to 154 of the family's 154-position model. The record is from RNAcentral.